This is a long non-coding RNA of Xiphias gladius (swordfish), 725 nucleotides long. RefSeq lists it as uncharacterized. The transcript has 3 exons. The record is from RefSeq and is a predicted model, not a curated record. Lineage: Eukaryota; Metazoa; Chordata; Actinopteri; Istiophoriformes; Xiphiidae.
UUCCCUGACGUGUCAAAAUGUCGAGGCCUAUCAUAGCUUGUUCAAAUCAGCUCAGCUUUGGCCCUCUAACAGAAAGUGGCGUUUAACCAUCCUUCAGUGAAAUUUCUGAUGACCGAGUUCCUAUUUUGGCACAGGAAGUGCGCUCACCUUCUCCCUCUCCGUACUUGGCGCUGUGUGCCCACGUUAUGCCAGCCUGGAAACCCAGCUCUCGGCACACCACGUUGGCCAGUUUGAUGUUCACCUCGUCGUCGCAGACGGUCCCCCAGGUGUUGUUGUGCAGCACCUCCACGCGGCCCUCGUGCGGCUCGCGCGCGAAGUUGCCCGCCAGACGCACCUUGGCGGCUGGCGCGCGAGCCGGCCGGCGCUGAGAGGCCGUGGCCCGCCGAGGUUCGGCGCGAGCGGGAGAGCUGGGGGACAGCAGGAGGAGGAGGAGGCUGAGGCAGAGGGCGCGGGUCAUCGUGACGGCGAGGACGGGGCCUGCAGUGAAGGUGCAACUGGGUGGCAGGAUGGUAGUCCCUCCCUGACUGGUAAACCCGAACAGGAAGAGCAGACCCCGUAUUAGCGGGGCCAAAUCAGAGGGAUCUCCAAGGCCGACAGGGAGAAGAAAGGGAAAGCAGCCUGUACUCACCUUCAUGCCCAUGAGAGCACUGCCCUUGCGGAAAUGUCCUUUGGACCAGUCUGGGGCCAGCUGAAUGGAGCGUUCAGCAUCUGCCAGGGCCUGAGGG